GGAAGUAAAAGUCGUAACAAGGUUUCCGUAGAUAUCCUUCUUUGAAGCCUUCUGCACAACGACUAUAACCAUGUGCACAGUCCCUGCAGGCAAGGGGGCAACGUCACCUAUGUGCUGGAAUCCACUUCUGUGGGAACCAACAGCCGGGUAUACACCUAUUAGGUUAUAUCUGGUCUACAGAUUAGGCGGUGGCGGUCAGUAUAUCUCUCUUUUGCGUGAUAAUGAUGCAAUAAUUUAUUGGUUAUAAGAUAUAGCUCUCUAGGUUAUUGAUCCAGCACUAUUGCAAGAAGGGCAGGUACUGAUUAAGAUAUAAUCGGUCGCUAUUACCAGUAUAAAUAGCUGAGAAACGUUCCGUAGGUGAACCUGCGGAAGGAUCAUUA
This 380-nucleotide ribosomal RNA is filed under the name Verrucaria hydrophila. RNAcentral describes it as "partial 18S small subunit ribosomal RNA". The record is from RNAcentral. Lineage: Eukaryota; Fungi; Ascomycota; Eurotiomycetes; Verrucariales; Verrucariaceae.